Molecule: ribosomal RNA, 516 nt
Filed under: uncultured bacterium
Lineage: Bacteria
Description: partial 16S ribosomal RNA
Rfam family: Bacterial small subunit ribosomal RNA
Source: RNAcentral
UGGGGAAUUUUGGACAAUGGGCGAAAGCCUGAUCCAGCAAUGCCGCGUGUGUGAAGAAGGCCUUCGGGUUGUAAAGCACUUUUGUCCGGAAAGAAAUCCUUGGCUCUAAUACAGUCGGGGGAUGACGGUACCGGAAGAAUAAGCACCGGCUAACUACGUGCCAGCAGCCGCGGUAAUACGUAGGGUGCAAGCGUUAAUCGGAAUUACUGGGCGUAAAGCGUGCGCAGGCGGUUUGCUAAGACCGAUGUGAAAUCCCCGGGCUCAACCUGGGAACUGCAUUGGUGACUGGCAGGCUAGAGUAGUGGCAGAGGGGGGUAGAAUUCCACGUGUGANCAGUGAAAUGCGUAGAGAUGUGGAGGAAUACCGAUGGCGAAGGCAGCCCCCUGGGCCAAUACUGACGCUCAUGCACGAAAGCGUGGGGAGCAACAGGAUUAGAUACCCUGGUAGUCCACGCCCUAAACGAUGUCAACUAGUUGUUGGGGAUUCAUUCCUUAGUAACGUAGCUAACGCGUGAAG